AGGAUCGCCGUGCUGUACAAGUCGACUUUUCUUUCAUUUCCAAGACUAUGUUUUUAUAUACACCAAAGUAUGUUUAAAGAAUGUCGUCAAUAGGAACUUGUUUCCUAUAAAAUUAUACAACUUUCAGCAACGGAUCUCUUGGCUCUCGCAUCGAUGAAGAACGCAGCGAAAUGCGAUAAGUAAUGUGAAUUGCAGAAUUCAGUGAAUCAUCGAAUCUUUGAACGCACCUUGCGCUCCUUGGUAUUCCGAGGAGCAUGCCUGUUUGAGUGUCAUUAAAUUCUCAACCUUCCAGCUUUUAUUAGCAUGGUUAGGCUUGGAUGUGGGGGUUGCGGGCUUCAUCAAUGAGGUCGGCUCUCCUUAAAUGCAUUAGCGGAACUUUUGUGGACCGUCUAUUGGUGUGAUAGUUAUCUACGCCGUGGAUGUGAAGCAGCUUUAUGAAGUUCAGCUUCUAACCGUCCAUUGACUUGGACAAUUUUGACAAUUUGACCUCAAAUCAGGUAGGACUACCCGCUGAACUUAAGCAUAUCAAUAAGCGGAGGAAAAGAAACUAACAAGGAUUCCCCUAGUAACUGCGAGUGAAGCGGGAAAAGCUCAA
Molecule: ribosomal RNA, 595 nt
Filed under: uncultured Laccaria
Lineage: Eukaryota; Fungi; Basidiomycota; Agaricomycetes; Agaricales; Tricholomataceae
Description: eukaryotic LSU rRNA
Rfam family: 5.8S ribosomal RNA (bases 119-272)
Source: RNAcentral